UGCCAGCAGCCGCGGUAAUACGGAGGGGGCAAGCGUUGUUCGGAAUUACUGGGCGUAAAGGGCGCGUAGGCGGCCGAUCAAGUCGGGUGUGAAAGCCCUCGGCUCAACCGAGGAAUUGCACCCGAUACUGAUUGGCUAGAGUCCGGGAGGGGGUAGCGGAAUUCCCAGUGUAGCGGUGAAAUGCGUAGAUAUUGGGAAGAACACCAGUGGCGAAGGCGGCUACCUGGACCGGAACUGACGCUGAGGCGCGAAAGCUAGGGGAGCGAAUGGGAUUAGAUA
Molecule: ribosomal RNA, 279 nt
Filed under: uncultured bacterium
Lineage: Bacteria
Description: partial 16S ribosomal RNA
Rfam family: Bacterial small subunit ribosomal RNA
Source: RNAcentral